This is a long non-coding RNA of Pygocentrus nattereri (red-bellied piranha), 462 nucleotides long. Lineage: Eukaryota; Metazoa; Chordata; Actinopteri; Characiformes; Serrasalmidae. The record is from Ensembl.
CAAUCACGCAAUGAGGGUCCUGUACCUGGUGCUUCUCUAUCAUGUCAGUGCGCAGCUUCAGUGUGACAAAUCCAUUAUCAGUGCCACAGUUGGAGGAAGGUUUAAUGUUGCCUGCACAUACAACACAAACCAGUUCCGCUUCAGUAAGAAGUACUGGUGUUUUGGGGAGUCCAGGAGCUCUUGUGAUAUUGUGAUGGAUACAGACGGCUUCACCAAAGCUGAGCUCAAGAGUCGGGCUCAGAUCACUGAGACCUACAGAACCUUUAAUAUUUUAAUGACAGGACUGCAGGUGGGAGACAGGGGAGUCUACUGGGCUGCAAUUGACAAGAUGUAUGCUGAUAUCAUGUUUAAGAUCCAGGUUGAAGUAAAAGAGGGUAAGAAUUAGUUUGUAUACUUUCUAGUAAAUAUUAUAGAAUGUUGUAUGUCCAUACUUAUGUUUUUUCUUCAAGAGCAGAGCUGAAU